Molecule: long non-coding RNA, 273 nt
Filed under: Arabidopsis lyrata
Lineage: Eukaryota; Viridiplantae; Streptophyta; Magnoliopsida; Brassicales; Brassicaceae
Description: long non-coding RNA (ALYR_LNC002265)
Source: RNAcentral
UUAUGUGCAUCAGCUGCUUCCAAGCUUGAAUCUUUCUAGAAGAGAAGAGCUCGAAAGGCAUUGCCCGCCACUCGAGCAGCGCCUCUUUUGCUUGGUACCUCCACCAAAUGAUUAUAAGAUACCUAUAAAAUGGCCAACCAGCUUGGUACCUCCACCAAAUGAUUAUAAGAUACCUAUAAAAUGGCCAACCAGUAGAGACUAUGUAUGGAGAAGUAACGUGAAUCAUACACAUCUUGCUCAAGUUAAAGGGUGGCCAAAAUUGGGUGCAUGAGC